UUAGAAACGUGGGCUGUAUAGGUGGUGAUAAACCAAUACAAAUCCAAAUAUAAUGCGAUAGGAUCUUCAUCUCCAAUAUAAUAAAGAAGAAAAAGGUAAUGUCUAUUAUAUCCCAGAACAAAAGAAGGGUAAAUCUCAUCUCAUGGUGAAAAGCAGGGCUUACAGCAGAAAAAAGGAGAUGAAUGAGAGCUUCCCCAAAUAAAAUGGUUUGAUACAUAUUAUUAAAAAACUGGAUCUAACUGGAUCUAAAAUUUUUACUGAUAAGUUUCGAAGAAGAUUGUAGUUUGUGAAUGGACUUGGACUAAUUGGAGGGAUAUUGAAGUUCUGAGUGGAUUAACAGAGAAUGGGAUACCACGGGAAAGAUGAAAAAUAUUUUGACCUGGAUGACUACUAG
Molecule: long non-coding RNA, 394 nt
Filed under: Homo sapiens (human)
Lineage: Eukaryota; Metazoa; Chordata; Mammalia; Primates; Hominidae
Description: non-protein coding lnc-PCDH18-10:1
Source: RNAcentral